UACGGGGGGUGCAAGCGUUAUUCGGAAUUACUGGGCGUAAAGCGCGCGUAGGCGGCCCUGUAAGUCAGGGGUGAAAUCCCACGGCUCAACCGUGGAACUGCCCUUGAAACUGCGGGGCUUGAAUCCUGGAGAGGGUGGCGGAAUUCCUGGUGUAGGAGUGAAAUCCGUAGAUAUCAGGAGGAACACCGGUGGCGAAGGCGGCCACCUGGACAGGUAUUGACGCUGAGGUGCGAAAGCGUGGGGAGCAAACAGG
This 253-nucleotide ribosomal RNA is filed under the name uncultured bacterium. Its description in RNAcentral is "partial 16S ribosomal RNA". It matches the Rfam family "Bacterial small subunit ribosomal RNA", at positions 524 to 776 of the family's 1533-position model. The record is from RNAcentral.